UCGCAGUUGAUGCGGCAGAAAGAAAGCUUGUCCAUUGCCACCUGUAAUCCUCUGCGUUUAGCAGGAAAUAUGUACAAACGAUAGUCACACAAACUGUCACAAUGCAGAGGAUAACCAGAACCAACAUCAUAAAGCCAUAAACAUAGUAGAUCUUGUAAGCCCAGAAUGAAGUAAAAAUGAAAUACAUUUCAAUAAAAAUUGAUCCAAAGGGGAGGAUUCCACCUAGGCAAACAAUAACAGCUGGUUCCAUGAACCUUUUUUUUCUGGUAUGGGACGAGGCACUGCAUUGACACGGCAUGGAAAAUUGGGCUGUCCUGACAGAUUUCGGCCAAGAAUCGUACCAACGAGGUUCAGUGGAAGAAUGACAAAGAAACAAAUACAACAUACUGCCACCAUGGUUCCAAACGGUAUAGCUCUUGAAGCAUGGUAAUAGAUGGCAAUGAAGUUAAUGAAGAAGGCAGUUCCACACACCAUUGCCGGAAUAAGGAAAGCUCCAAUGAACAUCUGUUUUAUCC
Molecule: long non-coding RNA, 515 nt
Filed under: Gallus gallus (chicken)
Lineage: Eukaryota; Metazoa; Chordata; Aves; Galliformes; Phasianidae
Source: RNAcentral